This 279-nucleotide ribosomal RNA is filed under the name uncultured bacterium. Its description in RNAcentral is "partial 16S ribosomal RNA". It matches the Rfam family "Bacterial small subunit ribosomal RNA", at positions 506 to 784 of the family's 1533-position model. The record is from RNAcentral.
UGCCAGCAGCCGCGGUAAUACGGAGGGUGCAAGCGUUAUCCGGAUUCAUUGGGUUUAAAGGGUCCGCAGGCGGGAAAAUAAGUCAGUGGUGAAAGCCUACAGCUCAACUGUAGAACUGCCAUUGAUACUGUUUUUCUUGAAUAUAGAUGAAGUGGGCGGAAUGUAUCAUGUAGCGGUGAAAUGCGUAGAUAUGAUACAGAACACCGAUUGCGAAGGCAGCUCACUAAACUAUUACUGACGCUGAGGGACGAAAGCGUGGGGAGCGAACAGGAUUCGAUA